ACCAACAGGGAUUGCCCUAGUAACGGCGAGUGAAGCGGCAUCAGCUCAAAUUUGAAAUCUGGCUCUUUCAGAGUCCGAGUUGUAAUUUGCAGAGGGCGCUUUGGUGUCGGCAGCGGUCCAAGUUCCUUGGAACAGGACGUCACAGAGGGUGAGAAUCCCGUACGUGGUCGCUGACCUACACCGUGUAAAGCCCCUUCGACGAGUCGAGUUGUUUGGGAAUGCAGCUCUAAAUGGGAGGUAAAUUUCUUCUAAAGCUAAAUACUGGCCAGAGACCGAUAGCGCACAAGUAGAGUGAUCGAAAGAUGAAAAGCACUUUGGAAAGAGAGUCAAACAGCACGUGAAAUUGUUGAAAGGGAAGCGCUUGCAGCCAGACUUGCUUGUAGUUGCUCAUCCGGGCUUUUGCCCGGUGCACUCUUCUGCGAGCAGGCCAGCAUCAGUUUGGACGGUUGGAUAAAGGCCUCUGUCACGUACCUUCUCUCGGGAAGGCCUUAUAGGGGAGGCGUCAUGCAACCAGUCUGGACUGAGGUCCGCGCAUCUGCUAGGAUGCUGGCGUAAUGGCUGUAAGCGGCCCGUCUUGAAACACGGACCAAGGAGUCUAACAUCUAUGCGAGUGUUUGGGUGUCAAGCCCGAGCGCGUAAUGAAAGUGAACGGAGGUGGGAUCCCGCAAGGGUGCACCAUCGACCGAUCCUGAUGUCUUCGGAUGGAUUUGAGUAAGAGCAUGGCUGUUGGGACCCGAAAGAUGGUGAACUAUGCUUGAAUAGGGUGAAGCCAGAGGAAACUCUGGUGGAGGCUCGCAGCGGUUCUGACGUGCAAAUCGAUCGUCAAAUUUGGGCAUAGGGGCGAAAGACUA
This 851-nucleotide ribosomal RNA is filed under the name Perisporiopsis aff. melioloides PP114. RNAcentral describes it as "eukaryotic LSU rRNA". It matches the Rfam family "Eukaryotic large subunit ribosomal RNA", at positions 64 to 933 of the family's 3401-position model. Lineage: Eukaryota; Fungi; Ascomycota; Dothideomycetes; Parodiopsidaceae. The record is from RNAcentral.